AGAGUUUGAUCCUGGCUCAGAUUGAACGCUGGCGGUAUGCUUAACACAUGCAAGUCGAACGGAAACGACAAGAGCUUGCUCUUGGGCGUCGAGUGGCGGACGGGUGAGUAACGCGUAGGAAUCUGCCUAGUAGUGGGGGAUAGCCCAAGGAAACUUGGAUUAAUACCGCAUAAUAUCUAUGGAUUAAAGUGGAGGAUCUUCGGACUUCACGCUACUAGAUGAGCCUGCGUAAGAUUAGUUAGUUGGUGAGGUAAAAGCUCACCAAGGCGACGAUCUUUAGCUGGUCUGAGAGGAUGAUCAGCCACACUGGGACUGAGACACGGCCCAGACUCCUACGGGAGGCAGCAGUGGGGAAUAUUGGACAAUGGGGGCAACCCUGAUCCAGCAAUACCGCGUGUGUGAAGAAGGCCUGAGGGUUGUAAAGCACUUUCAAUUGUGAAGAAAAGUUAAGGAUU
Molecule: ribosomal RNA, 455 nt
Filed under: uncultured marine bacterium
Lineage: Bacteria
Description: bacterial SSU rRNA
Rfam family: Bacterial small subunit ribosomal RNA
Source: RNAcentral